UACGAAGGGGGCUAGCGUUGCUCGGAAUCACUGGGCGUAAAGGGUGCGUAGGCGGGUCUUUAAGUCAGGGGUGAAAUCCUGGAGCUCAACUCCAGAACUGCCUUUGAUACUGAGGAUCUUGAGUAUGGGAGAGGUGAGUGGAACUGCGAGUGUAGAGGUGAAAUUCGUAGAUAUUCGCAAGAACACCAGUGGCGAAGGCGGCUCACUGGCCCAUUACUGACGCUGAGGCACGAAAGCGUGGGGGAGCAAACAGG
RNAcentral lists this ribosomal RNA (254 nucleotides) under uncultured bacterium. Its description in RNAcentral is "partial 16S ribosomal RNA". It matches the Rfam family "Bacterial small subunit ribosomal RNA", at positions 524 to 776 of the family's 1533-position model. The record is from RNAcentral.